Carlito syrichta (Philippine tarsier) is the source of this 678-nucleotide RNA transcript. It is a transcript of the gene named ran guanine nucleotide release factor pseudogene, with no coding region annotated. The transcript has a single exon. The record is from RefSeq and is a predicted model, not a curated record. NCBI's taxonomy places the organism in Eukaryota, Metazoa, Chordata, Mammalia, Primates, Tarsiidae.
AUGGAGCCCACGAGAGACUAUACGCUGUUCGGGGGUGCCUUGUCCACCAUCAUGCCCCCCGGGGUCAUUGAUGUAAGUGAGCUCUGACCAGUCCCGGACAAUCAAGAAGUUUUCUGCCAUCCCGUGACGGACCAGAGCCUGAUCAUGGAACUUCUGGAGCUGCAGGCCCACAUGCGGGGUGAAGUGACUGCAUGGUAACACUUUGAGGACGUUGGCGGGGUGCAAGGGGAUAGGGUUGUCCAAGUGGAGUCUGUGCAGCCUCUCAGUUUGGAGAACCUGGCCCUGAGAGGCUGCUGUCAAGAAGCCUGGGUCCUCUCUGGCAAGCAGCAGGUAGCUAAGGAAAACCAGCAGAUAGCAAAGGAUGUGACACCGCACCAGGCCUUGCUGCGACUGACCCAGUACCAGACAGAUCUCUUGCUCACCUUCAAUCAGCCCUGCCCUGACAACAGGUCAUCUGUUGGCUCUGAAAAUCUGUCACCUCCACCCUGGAGCCUGGGUGACUUUGAACAACUGGUGACCAGUCUGGCCCUUCAUGAUCCCAACAUCUUUGGUCCCCAGUAAAGGUGGUGAAGCACUGCGUGGUGCUGCUGAGAACUUGGGGACCCAGUUCCAUGAGGAGAAGAAGAGAUUGAAUAUCCAGGUUUCUGCUUAUUUCCUCUCCAUGCAUAAACAUAAGAC